RNAcentral lists this ribosomal RNA (497 nucleotides) under uncultured bacterium. RNAcentral's name for it is "partial 16S ribosomal RNA". It matches the Rfam family "Bacterial small subunit ribosomal RNA", at positions 28 to 507 of the family's 1533-position model. The record is from RNAcentral.
GAUGAACGCUGGCGGCGUGCCUAAUACAUGCAAGUCGAGCGAACAGACGAGGAGCUUGCUCCUCUGACGUUAGCGGCGGACGGGUGAGUAACACGUGGAUAACCUACCUAUAAGACUGGGAUAACUUCGGGAAACCGGAGCUAAUACCGGAUAAUAUAUUUAACCGCAUUGUUCAAUAGUGAAAGACGGUUUUGCUGUCACUUAUAGAUGGAUCCGCGCCGCAUUAGCUAGUUGGUAAGGUAACGGCUUACCAAGGCAACGAUGCGUAUCCGACCUGAGAGGGUGAUCGGCCACACUGGAACUGAGACACGGUCCAGACUCCUACGGGAGGCAGCAGUAGGGAAUCUUCCGCAAUGGGCGAAAGCUUGACGGAGCAACGCCGCGUGAGUGAUGAAGGUCUUCGGAUCGUAAAACUCUGUUAUUAGGGAAGAACAAAUGUGUAAGUAACUAUGCACGUCUUGACGGUACCUAAUCAGAAAGCCACGGCUAACUACGUG